RNAcentral lists this ribosomal RNA (397 nucleotides) under Brachybacterium sp. EB84. RNAcentral describes it as "bacterial SSU rRNA". It matches the Rfam family "Bacterial small subunit ribosomal RNA", at positions 832 to 1231 of the family's 1533-position model. Lineage: Bacteria; Bacillati; Actinomycetota; Actinomycetes; Micrococcales; Dermabacteraceae. The record is from RNAcentral.
CCACGUUUUCCGCGCCGUAGCUAACGCAUUAAGUGCCCCGCCUGGGGAGUACGGCCGCAAGGCUAAAACUCAAAGGAAUUGACGGGGGCCCGCACAAGCGGCGGAGCAUGCUGAUUAAUUCGAUGCAACGCGAAGAACCUUACCAAGGCUUGACAUGCACUGGACGGCUGCAGAGAUGUGGCUUUCUUUGGACUGGUGCACAGGUGGUGCAUGGUUGUCGUCAGCUCGUGUCGUGAGAUGUUGGGUUAAGUCCCGCAACGAGCGCAACCCUCGUUCUAUGUUGCCAGCACGUGAUGGUGGGGACUCAUAGGAGACUGCCGGGGUCAACUCGGAGGAAGGUGGGGACGACGUCAAAUCAUCAUGCCCCUUAUGUCUUGGGCUUCAAGCAUGCUACAAU